This is a ribosomal RNA of Lepisosteus oculatus (spotted gar), 119 nucleotides long. The record is from Ensembl. Lineage: Eukaryota; Metazoa; Chordata; Actinopteri; Semionotiformes; Lepisosteidae.
GCUUACGGCCACACCACCCUGAACACGCCCGAUCUCGUCUGAUCUCGGAAGCUAAGCAGGUUCGGGCCUGGUUAGUACUUGGAUGGGAGACCGCCUGGGAAUACCAGGUGCUGUAAGCU